RNAcentral lists this unclassified non-coding RNA (402 nucleotides) under soil metagenome. Its description in RNAcentral is "partial contains 5.8S ribosomal RNA, internal transcribed spacer 2, and large subunit ribosomal RNA". The stretch from base 1 to 121 matches the Rfam family "5.8S ribosomal RNA", at positions 35 to 154 of the family's 154-position model. The record is from RNAcentral.
GAUGAAGAACGUAGCGAAAUGCGAUAAGUAAUGUGAAUUGCAGAAUUCAGUGAAUCAUUGAAUCUUUGAACGCACCUUGCACCCUUUGGCUAUUCCGAAGGGUAUGCCUGUUUGAGUAUCAUGAACACCUCAACUCUCAUGGUUUGCCAUGAUGAGCUUGGACUUUGGGGGUCUUGCUGGCCUGUGGUCAGCUCCUCUCAAAUGGAUUAGCUUGCCAGUGUUUGGUGGCAUCACAGGUGUGAUAACUAUCUACGCUUGUGGUUUUCCACCAGGUAACCUUCAGCAAUGGGGGUUCGCUGGGGCUCAUAAAUGUCUCUCCUCAGCGAGGACAGCUCUUUGAACGUUUGAUCUCAAAUCAGGUAGGACUACCCGCUGAACUUAAGCAUAUCAAUAAGCGGAGGA